Molecule: ribosomal RNA, 936 nt
Filed under: uncultured Lactococcus sp.
Lineage: Bacteria; Bacillati; Bacillota; Bacilli; Lactobacillales; Streptococcaceae
Description: bacterial SSU rRNA
Rfam family: Bacterial small subunit ribosomal RNA
Source: RNAcentral
UCUAGAUUAGAGUUUGAUCCUGGCUCAGGACGAACGCUGGCGGCGUGCCUAAUACAUGCAAGUCGAGCGUGAUUAAAGAUAGCUUGCCAUUUUUAUGAAGAGCGGCGAACGGGUGAGUAACGCGUGGGAAAUCUGCCGAGUAGCGGGGGACAACGUUUGGAAACGAACGCUAAUACCGCAUAACAAUGAGAAUCGCAUGAUUCUUAUUUGAAAGAAGCAAUUGCUUCACUACUUGAUGAUCCCGCGUUGUAUUAGCUAGUUGGUAGUGUAAAGGACUACCAAGGCGAUGAUACAUAGCCGACCUGAGAGGGUGAUCGGCCACACUGGGACUGAGACACGGCCCAGACUCCUACGGGAGGCAGCAGUAGGGAAUCUUCGGCAAUGGGGGCAACCCUGACCGAGCAACGCCGCGUGAGUGAAGAAGGUUUUCGGAUCGUAAAACUCUGUUGUUAGAGAAGAACGUUAAGUAGAGUGGAAAAUUACUUAAGUGACGGUAUCUAACCAGAAAGGGACGGCUAACUACGUGCCAGCAGCCGCGGUAAUACGUAGGUCCCAAGCGUUGUCCGGAUUUAUUGGGCGUAAAGCGAGCGCAGGUGGUUUCUUAAGUCUGGUGUAAAAGGCAGUGGCUCAACCAUUGUGUGCAUUGGAAACUGGGAGACUUGAGUGCAGGAGAGGAGAGUGGAAUUCCAUGUGUAGCGGUGAAAUGCGUAGAUAUAUGGAGGAACACCGGAGGCGAAAGCGGCUCUCUGGCCUGUAACUGACACUGAGGCUCGAAAGCGUGGGGAGCAAACAGGAUUAGAUACCCUGGUAGUCCACGCCGUAAACGAUGAGUGCUAGCUGUAGGGAGCUAUAAGUUCUUGUAGCGCAGCUAACGCAUUAAGCACUCCCCUGGGGAGUACGACCCAAGGUUGAAACUCAAAGGAAUUGACGGGGGCC